This is a long non-coding RNA of Zingiber officinale, 841 nucleotides long. RefSeq lists it as uncharacterized. Lineage: Eukaryota; Viridiplantae; Streptophyta; Magnoliopsida; Zingiberales; Zingiberaceae. The transcript has 3 exons. The record is from RefSeq and is a predicted model, not a curated record.
UCUUCUUUUUCCCCGAUUCAUCUUCUCUUCUCCUGGCCAAGCCCUAACUCUUCCUUCUCCUAUCUCGUCGACACCUUCGUUCCUGAUUUCCUUUCCUCCCUUUUUCCUCCAAUCGCCUAAGCUGGAUCGCAAUGCCUUCAGUGUCACCAUUCGGAUCUCGGAGACUAGCCAGGGAGCAACCACAGUUGUCGCGAGAGGCGAUGUCGUGGGACAUCGCAAGAGCCACAAAGCCCUCACCGUCGGUCGAAGCUCCUUUCCCCUGGUCCCCUGGCUUGUUGUGUGUGCCCUAGUCGGCUGAUUCAUCUCCUCAGUCACCAUUUGUGAUUCGAUUGUCGCUGGAGUUGCCUCGUCUCCAGAUGCCGCUUUAAUCAGAGGAAGGACUCACACCUCCACCAUCAGGGGCAGCACCUCCUUUCCCCUCUCUGUCGUAAGACAUCGCAAACCACAGCGCCGACGUUGUCGAUCACUGACAUUGUCCUUGGCAUAGCUGACGGUUGCCAUUGAUCUGAUCACAAGAAGAUUAUAGAUACCACCUACAUGAGGCGACCUCAUCGCGUACUAUAUCCGGCUACCAUAGUAGACCGACAUCCCUGAGGUGGUGAGGCUGUUGGAUGGAUUUAUCACUUCUGAAGAAAGAGCCCAGUUUCAUGCCAUAGAGAUUGAAGUCGCUUGGAGCAUCCUAUCUGUCAGUCCUAUGUCACAUCCGAAGACCAUUUCCGGUUUCAUUUAUGUUUUAUCUGGUUUAUGUAUUUGGUGGAUUUAGUAUUGUAUAUUCCGGUUUUGGUUCUGGAGUAUUGCUACGUGGUAUCGAGUAUUGUUUUGUUGUGUUGUGUAUGUUGGA